This 424-nucleotide ribosomal RNA is filed under the name Otiorhynchus vaucheri. RNAcentral describes it as "partial 16S ribosomal RNA". Lineage: Eukaryota; Metazoa; Arthropoda; Insecta; Coleoptera; Curculionidae. The record is from RNAcentral.
GGUAUUUUGACCGUGCAAAGGUAGCAUAAUCAUUAGUUUUUUAAUUGAAAGCUGGAAUGAAAGGUUGAAUGAGAAAAUAAUUGUCUCUAUUUAAAUUAUUUAGAAUUUUAUAAUUAAGUUAAAAAGCUUAAAUUAAAUUAAAAGACGAGAAGACCCUAUAGAGUUUAAUUGAUUUAUAUAACUAAGUUUUUAGGAUUUAUUUUUUUUUUAUAUAAAUUAAUUUGAUUGGGGUGAUUGAAAAAUUAAUUUAACUUUUUUUAUUAUUUGUAUACAUUGAUAUAUGGGGGUAUGAUCCUUUUAUAGAGAUUAAAAGAAAAAAUUACCUUAGGGAUAACAGCGUAAUUUUUUUAAAGAGCUCAAAUCGAAAAAAAAGAUUGCGACCUCGAUGUUGGAUUAAAAUAAAAUUUUGGUGUAGAAGCUAGAG